UGGGUACAUUCUAAGUUUUGAAAGAUUUGUAAGAAAUGUUUUAGAAAGCGAACUUACAUAGUGUUAAACACUAAGUCAAUUUUCUCAAACAUUUCUUACAAAUCCUUCAAAACGUAGAAUUUACCGA
Non-coding RNA from Paramuricea clavata, 127 nucleotides. The record is from the annotation of a GenBank genome assembly. NCBI's taxonomy places the organism in Eukaryota, Metazoa, Cnidaria, Anthozoa, Malacalcyonacea, Plexauridae.